GGAAGGAGAGGCCGUGCUAAAACACAGUCUACGCUGCAACGAAACCUGAGAUCCAUCAUUUGGUUAAUAUUUCAGCAGACACAACCUAGCGGAGUAAUAUUUUUAUCUCCAGUACUUCACUUGAAGUAAACAGACUCCACCAAAGGUCACGCUGCUGCAUGUCCGUACCUCGGAGGGGUGCAGGAGCCGCGAGGCAAUGCAAAGCACACUUUUGGGGUGUGAGUGUUGGUUCUCAAACAAUAUCCUUACGAAAAACCUGUUCCGCCCCGCUGCCAGCUGGCUUGAGGCAAGGCUUCAGCAGAAGCUGUCUUGCUGUUCAUGAGCAUAACCCGGCCCUACAGGGGCGACAGGGGGCCAGGAGCAUUUUAAAUCAUUCAACGAGAUGCCAGAAAACCUGUUCUCCACCGCGUGCCCGGGUCACCCUCGGUGCACAGCGCACGGGCGCGAUGCACACAGGAGAGCGCGUCAUGGCGGGGAGAGGGGCAGGAGGAGGAAGAACGCCAGGGAAAGUUCGCAGCGAGCGGGAACGGGGAAGGAAGGAAGGCGGCAGGGCAGCGCACCCGGGAAACGCGGGCAUACGACGGGAUUAUCGCAGCCGCCAGCUGCUCCUCGCCAGCUCCCGGCAACGCCGACUGCGAAGCCAGCUUAAAGGGAGGAAAACAAUGACACGAGAGCAGGAGAGACAGCCCGGCCACCUGGGAGCAGAGCCACGCACGAAACCUACCGAGACUCCAAAGCAAGGAAGUGUAUCUACACCACCUGCGGGGCGAGUCGGCUGCGAGAAGAUCACUCUCCCGUCUUCACCGGCAAUCCCGGAUGAAAUCUCCUCGCUGUCGGUGCUGUUUCCAUUUGGCUACGCGUGCCCCAAGCCCUGACAGCUCACACGUUGCUGUCGCUGUGUGCGUGGAACAACCCCGCACACACACACUCCGGGCUUGCUGACAGGGGGCUGAAGUGCCGCCUACGCCGGUGGCUUCUGUAACGUGGUACUGCCGCUCCUACAGUCAGGCUGUUCCUCGAGAAUCUCUCUUUUCACUGAGUUCCCAUUCAAAGUUUCUGUCUUUUUGUGAGUCCACAGAAAAUCUAGAAAAGAAAUCCUGCAGCAGCACCUGACUGACAAAAAGAACCCCCCUUCACAAGGUCUCUGCACUCAUGAGGCCUCGUCUGGAAUGCUAAAUCCAGAUGUGGAGUCUUCAGAAUGGAAGAAAGGUGGACCUGUUGGAGCACAUCCAGAGGAGGGCCACAAAAAUGAUCCCAGGGAUGGAACACCUCCCUUCCGAGGACAGGCUGAGAGCUGGGGCUGUUCAGCAUGGAGAAGGGAAGGCUCCAGGGAGACCUGAGAGCGGCCUUUCAGUAUCAGAAGAAGAGCUACAGGAAAGAAGAGGACAGACACUUAAGCAGGGUCUGUCGUGAUAGGACACGGGUUAAGUGGUUUUAAACUAAAGGAGGGGAGACUUAAAUUGGAUAUGAGGAAGAAGUAUUUUACAGUCAGGGUGGUGAGGCACUGGAGGGGGUUGCCCAGAGAGGUGGUGGAUGCCCCAUCCCUGGAGACACCCGAGGUCAGGCUGGAUGGGGCUCUGAGCAACCUGAUCUACCUGUGGGUGUCCCUGUUCAUUGCAGGGGGGUUGGACCAGAUGGCCUUUAAGGAUCCCUUCCAUCUCAAAUAAUUCUAUGAUUCUAAUUCUAUGCCAGGAAAAAAGAACCUCCCUUUAUGUAUGGCAGCAAGCUAACUUCUGAGGUUGGGUUCCUGUUUCUUGAUACAGUGGAAUUGGCAAUCCUGAAAGACUUACAAAACCUGUAUGUGAUUCCUCACAAAGUACACAGUUAAGAGGAACAUCAGUCUUUGAAUGUCUAAAGCAUGCAAACACCACAGCAGGACUGAGCACAGUUACCCAAACACAGCAAUGAGUCUUUCCUGCUGCAAAGUUUUUCUGAUUCCAGGUCCUCUCUAAACAAGCCACACAGAGAAGUAUAAAGUAGGGAAAGAGCAGCUGUGUUCUGCAGUUCCCACUUGAUUCCAGGAAAUGGGACUUGGCAGCUCCAUGCUCUCCAUACCACUCCAUGAGUCACCUGCAGAGGCACUGAAGGCAGAACCAUCGCUGCCUGCUCCUCUUCCUGGUGCAGAGGGUCCAGGAAGUAGGGAAGAGAACAAACUUCUGUGAAAUAAUGGGGUUGUAUAGGGAGAAUGAGAUUAAAGCUGCCUUUGUAUACCUAAACAGGCAUGAAAGUGCAGAUACCAUCCACUUAUCUUGCUUAUCUUGCUAGCAGGAAGCUUGUUUCCAACAAACGUUAAAACCUGGAGGAAUCGGGUUGUGGAGCAGUCACCUCGGUCAUUUGUGGGGGUGGAUGCUUACAGGAGCACUGACAUCUACAGCAACGUUCCCAAACCAUCCAUUACCAAUCACCACUCACAGCCUCCGUAGGUAAGCAGUAGAGGUAAUUUAAAUAGAAAUGUGCUUACCCAAUGAGAUGGAAUAUGACAGAUGUUCAUAAGAAUAGGAAUGGGGGCCUUUUCCAUCCCUGACAAGGACAGGCAGCGCCUCUCUUUCCCCCAUUCCAUCUGGGACAGCAGCCCAAAGACCACCCCUGCUCCAGUUGCCUUUGGCAAAGGGCAGGAGGCAAAGGCAGAAGGUUACUGUGGGCCCAUUCUUUUUGCUUCUUUUUGUUUUUGUCUGGAAAGAGAAUAUUUAACAAGAACCUAAUUAAAAAAAGAAUAAUUAAAAAAAAAAAAAAAGAAACAGAAACUGGAAAGUGAGGCAUGAGGGGAGGAAAGAGAAACCAGAAUCACUGGGAGAUAGAAAGAUGUGGGGAAUUCUGCUUCUGUACCUACAGAGAACCUGUGCUUUAUCACUCCUGGGCCAUCAUUAGGUUGGACUGAAAACAGGCAGCAUUCGAACGAUGUAGUAUGGGAUUUGUAGUUAAGCUUCUGAUACUGGAAUUUCCACUGCCAUUGAAAACAGACACUGCUGUGUCCACAGGUUUCAGGAGAUAAGUACACAAAGCAAGCCUCCUGCUUCUUUCAGUUCUAAGGCACACAUCUACAGUGAGAGGUAGCUGAAUUGUCCCUGGUUUGGGAUCCUAAAAUGUGAGUUUAAUCCACAGUAACGCACAUCACAAGGGAGAAACAAAGGAGAGUGGCGUUGGCCUGUGCUCCUCCCCUCUUCGUGCUGCUGAAAAAGGCAGCCUGAAAGAGAAACAAGAAGUCUCAAGUCAGGAAGCUGCUUCAUUUGCUGCUUAGGUAAAACUAUAGAAAACUUUUUGCAUUAAGGCUAAACUUAGUGCCAUCUAGAAUGCAAUGCAGGCUGGAGGAGCUGAAGAAUAAGUGCAGAGAGUCUUCCAGACCCAACAUUGUUCACAAUCCGGUAGGGACUUUCCUUGGGGUGUGCCUGCUUUUGAAAUAACGUGUCCUUUGUGCCGUAACAAUAUUUUUAUGGUUGCAGUAAAUCUAUAAAUAGAAGCAGUGUAUCUGUGAACAGCAGAACGGCCUCAAAUCUGCUGAGACAGAUCUGGCCUAAAUGUGCCGGGGAGAUUCUGUAAACUUCUGCAUAAAUGAAGAACAUAAGUUUUGCUGUCCAAAAAUUAACUUUGGGCAAACACCCUCAUAUGUGGGAAAAAUAGAAUCUCGAGCAAAAAUGUUAAAAUGUGCUCCUGCCUCCCGGUGAGCUGCGGAGCAUUCAGAACUGGUUAACUUGUUGCUCUCUUGGAGGUCUUGUGCUUUGCUCAUUACAGCUGCCGUGAGCUGCAGCCAGGCCUGAUGCCUUGACACCAGAGAAGACAUGGCCUUUGGCUUGCAGUCCUGGUGGCACCUGCAGCCCAGAUUGGAGGUUGUGCAGUAAUCCCUCCUGGGCGUCCUGUUUUCCACUGUGCUUAGUGCAGAGCUUGCAUCACUACAUACACACUGUCUGUAUUUGUUCCUUAGUCUAGCUGCCAGGGGCUAUCCGAUUUUUAUUCCUUGUUCCUAAUUAUUAUACAUCCUUGAGAGACAUUAUUUGAGUAAACCGAGCAGGAUAAAGAAAUCCACUGUUUAUCAUCCAUCUGAGCCCAAAUCUCCUCAGCCCCAAGCUGUCAUAAUGUAUGGCUUGCAAACUUGCCAUCCAGCUGUUCCAGUUCCUAAUUCAUCAACUACAACACUUGUAAACUCAUGACUGGGAUUAAAGUUGAAAAUGUGAGGACAAAAAGCCUUGUGUAAAGACAAGGUUUCUGGGGUAUUGUGGGUUACCUGGCUUUCAUUUCUCCACGAUCCUCUGUGGAUCAUAAACAGCAAGUAAAGUAAUGUGGAGGAGACUUCUUUCAUCCCACUGAAGGCAUGGGGACUGCUGCCGUGUGCUUCAGAAGAAGUAGAGGCAGCAUUGAGUCCUUCAUUUGGGUUUGGAAGGCAGGGACUCUGUCCUAAAAGCAACCUAAGGACAUAUGGGCUCUUCUGACACGUUCAGUGAGCUAGAUUUUGAUCUCUACCCUCUCAAGAGCUACACUCUGUUUUACAGAUGAGGCUAUAAUUGAAUUUAAGCAAAUAAACUGCAGGUUACAAAGCAAACUUAAACAUUGCUAUGCAUCCUGAUGCCUCCAUAUUCCUAUCUGGGGGAGACAAAAGUGAAAUAUGAUGCAGCAUAUCAAUCUUUUUUAUAUUUAUGUGAUACUCUUGGUAAGGAAGCAUGACAGAUGUUUUUUUUUGUUACAAUUGUGUGUUUAUUGGGAGAGAGGUAGAGCGUGAAACCUCAGAUAUGUCAUUUUCCUCACAUCUCAUAUUCAUGAGAAAAGAAAGAAGGCAGGAAGAAGGAAAUAUAUACAACUGAAAAUGCUUACUUGAUGUAUUUUGCCAAAAUUUAUAGAAGUUUCUGGGUUUUGCUUUUUCAUUCCAAGGUCUUGGACUUACACUUCUCUGGUGGAGGAGGGGGAACAGUAUUUAACUAUGCCGCUCAUGCCAGGCCUUCAAAAUUCAUAAGUCAAGCGCCUAAAAUCAAGGCAUUUCUUCAAGAAUCAUGAGGUGCUGGGAAAAAAAGUGCUGAUAUAUUUUUAUUUGCCAUUUGGUUCUGAAGAUUUCCUAUUUCUCAGCAGAAGUAUCUUACAGGAAAAGACUUUUUUUUUUCCUAACAAAUGAUGUUUUGGUGCAUUCACAGGACUACAGCCAAUUAACCUUUUGAGAAAUAUAUCAAAUACAACUACCACAAAACUAAAAUCACUAGAUUAGCCAGAAUUUCUUUGUAAACUGUAUUAUUAUUGUUCAUUAAAUCUUCCUGUUCUUGCACUGAAUUUUAACUUUGAAAAUAGUAAUCACGGUUCCCAU
RNAcentral lists this long non-coding RNA (5284 nucleotides) under Gallus gallus (chicken). Lineage: Eukaryota; Metazoa; Chordata; Aves; Galliformes; Phasianidae. The record is from RNAcentral.